RNAcentral lists this long non-coding RNA (1446 nucleotides) under Ailuropoda melanoleuca (giant panda). Its description in RNAcentral is "lncRNA (ENSAMEG00000027044.1)". Lineage: Eukaryota; Metazoa; Chordata; Mammalia; Carnivora; Ursidae. The record is from RNAcentral.
AUGAACCUCCAAGGAGGGAGGAGAUGCUCUCUCCAAGGCUUCCCUGCAAUGCCCUGGCCCUCAGCAGGCUCCGUCUCUGCUGCCGAGAGGGGACUGCAGAGCCCCCGCUGCAGGACCCCAGGUCUUACCCCGGUGUGUGGGCCCCGGUCUGCGGGCCCACUCAGGACCACGAGCUGCAGCGGGGAGCCGCCGAGAUGCGCUGGCGAACAGCCUGGCCUGGGCCGGGCAGCUGCUGCCCGAGCUCCGCAGAAACGCCCGCUCCUGUCGCCCUGUUCCCCUGGGGCGGACCCCUCUGACCCACGCAGGGGCACUGAGAGGAACGGCGUGGGCUCGGAAUUCCUGGGGAGCAGCCCGCGGGCAGGGGCCGCCAUGGGGAUGGAUCUGCGGUCCCUCGGAAGCCCCAGGCACAGUUCCCACUGUUGGAACAAGGGCCGGUUCUCUGACUCGGGGUUUGCGUACUGUGGGUUCCAGACUCUGCGUAUUUCCACACGAGACGAGCCCUGGCUGCGGGGACUGGGGUGGGGACUUGGGUGUGACGGGACACUGUGGUUCUGUGCAUUAAUUCAUGAGGAAGGCCAGUCGCAGGAAGAGUCAGUCCACCCUUCACGGGCCACCAGGAACCCCGAUCGACAUACGCGGAUGUCCUGUGUGUGCACAGGUCUAGCGUGUCUGCGGCUGCAUGGAGAGGUCGCACAUCUUCAUGGCGCUGACUUUUGGGAGGGGGCGCCCCUCGAACUUCUGCUGGAAUCAACCCCAGAAUCCGUAGGAGAGCUUUGGAUGACAGAACACUUCACAAUCCCGAGACGACUCGCCGGGGGAGGGGACAUCCCCACACCGAGUCCCAGGCACGAGACACCACUCUGCACAGCAGCUCAGGGUUCUCAGCCACCUGGUGAUGGGGGACGUGACAGGGACCAUGGAAGCCAGCUGCUCUGGACACGGCCAGGAGAGUCCUCUCGCUCAGGAAGGCCCCGGCCAGACUUUACUCCCGUGGCCACCUAUGGGAUCCCAGCAUGGGUGUCUCUGUCCCGGGGCCCAUCCCUGAGCCCACGGGGAGCCCCCGACAGGGGCAGCUGGGGAGAGACAUGGACUCCAUCCUGGCACCUGGGAAGGCCGGCUGAUCCCAGGUGUGCUCGGUCAAGAAUCAUCAUCGUGGUCAUGAGAGCAGCUCACACGAUGGGAACGCCUUCCUCUCCUGACAUCCUAGCACGCAUUCUGGGAGGGCUGCACGGCUACUGUGUCCCCGUCCCAGAGGAAGGCUGGAGGCAAGGAGGUCACUGCUCCCGUCCACGGGCUCAAGGGAACGGAGGACCUGGUCUCAAGCCUCCCGGACCCUCCCGUCCAGGGUGCCGACCGUCCUGCUGCAGUAGACCUCCCGGUCUGAGACCCAAGCACGUUCCCUGUGCGUCCGACUCACACAGGACGCUGAAGCCAAGAAGGUUCUAG